ACAGAAGGGGGUUAGGGAAAAUGCUGUGUCAUAAAAAUGGUUUUCCCAGGUGGAGGCUCAUGUAUUGUACUUCAGGUGUGCUGCUGAUCCCUGUGAUUUCCCUAAAUGUGGGGAUCUCAGCUGCAUAGUUUGUGUUAAUUAUAGAAUUACAUUUAUGAUUUCCUACUU
RNAcentral lists this small nuclear RNA (168 nucleotides) under Pogona vitticeps (central bearded dragon). RNAcentral's name for it is "U1 spliceosomal RNA (ENSPVIG00000015414.1)". It matches the Rfam family "U1 spliceosomal RNA". From Rfam's summary of the family: U1 is a small nuclear RNA (snRNA) component of the spliceosome (involved in pre-mRNA splicing). Its 5' end forms complementary base pairs with the 5' splice junction, thus defining the 5' donor site of an intron. There are significant differences in sequence and secondary structure between metazoan and yeast U1 snRNAs, the latter being much longer (568 nucleotides as compared to 164 nucleotides in human). The record is from RNAcentral. Lineage: Eukaryota; Metazoa; Chordata; Lepidosauria; Squamata; Agamidae.